AAACAUGUCUUUUUGAAUUUAAUUUAAAGUCUAACCUGCCCACUGAAGUAUUUUAAAUGGCCGCAGUAUUUUGACUGUGCAAAGGUAGCAUAAUCAUUAGUCUUUUAAUUGAAGGCUGGAAUGAAUGGUUGGACGAAGUAUAAGCUGUUUCAUAUAAAUUUAUUUUAGAAUUUUAUAUUUUAGUUAAAAAGCUAAAAUUUUAUUAAAAGACGAGAAGACCCUAUAAAUCUUUAUACUUUAUAUUAUUUAAGUAUUUUAGAAUUUUUUAAUUUUUAUAGUAUAAAUUAUUUUGUUGGGGUGAUAUUAAAAUUUAAUGAACUUUUAAUUUUUUUUAAAUCAUUAAUUUAUGAGUUAUUGAUCCAUUAAUAUUGAUUAUUAGAUUAAGUUACUUUAGGGAUAACAGCGUAAUUUUUUUUGAGAGUUCAUAUCGACAAAAAAGUUUGCGACCUCGAUGUUGGAUUAAGAUAUAGAUUUGGGUGUAGCUGUUCAAACAUUAAGUCUGUUCGACUUUUAAAUUCUUACAUGAUC
Molecule: ribosomal RNA, 528 nt
Filed under: Anastrepha cryptostrephoides
Lineage: Eukaryota; Metazoa; Arthropoda; Insecta; Diptera; Tephritidae
Description: partial small subunit ribosomal RNA
Rfam family: Bacterial large subunit ribosomal RNA (bases 396-528)
Source: RNAcentral